RNAcentral lists this ribosomal RNA (253 nucleotides) under uncultured bacterium. RNAcentral describes it as "partial 16S ribosomal RNA". It matches the Rfam family "Bacterial small subunit ribosomal RNA", at positions 524 to 776 of the family's 1533-position model. The record is from RNAcentral.
UACAGAGACUGCAAGCGUUAUUCGGAUUCACUGGGCGUAAAGGGUGCGCAGGCGGCCAAGUGUGUUAGGCGUGAAAGCCUGAGGCUUAACCUCAGAAUUGCACCUAAAACUACAUGGCUAGAGCAUUGGAGAGGGUAGCGGAAUUCACGGUGUAGCAGUGAAAUGCGUAGAUAUCGUGAGGAACACCAGAGGCGAAGGCGGCUACCUGGACAGAAACUGACGCUGAGGCGCGAAAGCUAGGGGAGCGAACGGG